Molecule: ribosomal RNA, 484 nt
Filed under: uncultured bacterium
Lineage: Bacteria
Description: partial 16S ribosomal RNA
Rfam family: Bacterial small subunit ribosomal RNA
Source: RNAcentral
AUUGAACGCUGGCGGCAGGCCUAGCACAUGCAAGUCGAGCGGAUGAAGGGAGCUUGCUCCUGGAUUCAGCGGCGGACGGGUGAGUAAUGCCUAGGAAUCUGCCUGGUAGUGGGGGAUAACGUCCGGAAACGGGCGCUAAUACCGCAUACGUCCUGAGGGAGAAAGUGGGGGAUCUUCGGACCUCACGCUAUCAGAUGAGCCUAGGUCGGAUUAGCUAGUUGGUGGGGUAAAGGCCUACCAAGGCGACGAUCCAUAACUGGUCUGAGAGGAUGAUCAGUCACACUGGAACUGAGACACGGUCCAGACUCCUACGGGAGGCAGCAGUGGGGAAUAUUGGACAAUGGGCGAAAGCCUGAUCCAGCCAUGCCGCGUGUGUGAAGAAGGUCUUCGGAUUGUAAAGCACUUUAAGUUGGGAGGAAGGGCAGUAAGUUAAUACCUUGCUGUUUUGACGUUACCAACAGAAUAAGCACCGGCUAACUUCGUG